UUUCUCAAUAUUUCCUCUCCAUCUUUAUUCUAUAUCAUAUUUUUGCAACAUUCAGGUAUUUCAUAUUGUUUUAUUAGUAAUGAUAGUUAACUUUUUUCAAUCACUAUUAUUUCAACCAGUAUUACAGUAAUGAAUAAGGCAAUAACAACAAUUACUUAUCUUCAUCUUCUUCAUCUUCAACAAUAACCAUAAAGAAACUAUCCUCCACACAAGGACAUCCUGCUCAUUUUUUCCUGCAUAUUUUUGAAUUUGUUACACUAACUUACAUGCUAUGAACAUUGUAAACAGUAGAGCACAAAUUCAAUAACAAAAGGAGAAAGUAUAAAACACAUUCCAGAGAUCAGUCCAUAGUAUCAAGGUAUGUCAUACUUUUUCAUGUUAAAUUAUUAACGUUACAAAAGUUUAUUAACACAUUUUGUGAACGAAAUUUACAGAAGUGCAUAAAUUCAUCAACCAAAGGAGAAAGUAUAAAACACAUUCCAGAUAUCAGUCCAUAGUAUCAAGGUAUGUCAUACUUUUUUGUUAAAUUGUUAAGCUUACUCAAGUUAUUACACAAUAAAUAUGACUAAGUGAAUGAACACAUUUCUGAACGAAAUUAANUAACAAAUUAAACAAAAUAAAUAUGGCUAAGUGAAUCAACACAUGAACAAAAAAUAAAUAACAAAUCAUAUCACAAGGAAAAUCUGAUAGAUUUAUUUUAAAAUGAAAAUCUACUUAGAGAGGGAGGUAAAUAAAACGCAUAACCAUUAAUGCAUACAUAAAUUUUAGUAGAAAAAUAGGAAAAUGCAAUUAAGGUCAAAUAUUUGAUCCAUCAAUUCAAUAUUUUGUACUGAAACAAAAAAUUAAACCUUCUAAUACCAUAAUUUAAAACUUUUUGUAGUUUUCAUCUUAUAUUUAUCUUCAAUUUCGUGUGAACUUCAAUUAUCUGACAUACAUUAAAUUGAAAUCCUCAAAUUGGGGUAUUGUUGCUUUCUAUUAUUAAAGUUUUUAUAUAAUACAUACCAACACUCUAUAUCAAUGCAUUUAAUCAAUAAGAACAUAGAAAAGACAAAACAUAUUUUACUUUCAUAAACCUAUUGAAAAAUAAAAAAAAACACAGUUACAUAUAUAUGAUGAUGAUGUUUGACUAUGGAAGUGUUGAGGCCUAAGGGACAACAGAUGUUAGUUAAAAUUAUGUAUUUGUUAAUGACUUUUUAUAUUUGUUAACGACUCUCUUUAUAUUUGUUAAUGAUUCUUUCUAUGUAUGUCAGUAUUGCCAAGCAUAUGAACACAACAUAAACACGGUCAACUAACUCAAGACAUCAACAAAUUAUAUUGCAUUGUUAUUGUGCAAAUUCAUCAUCCUAGUAAGUCUAAGUCAUAUUUUAUCAUGUCAGAUUAUUUAUCACACAAAAAUAUCUUGGCUGAUUAUAAAAAGUACUUUUUCAUAUUACUAACUACUAAGUCCUAAGGGACAAAACAUGUUACUUAAAAUUACAUAUUUGGUAAUGACUCUCUAUUACACAACACUAUAAAAUGUGGAAUAAUAUAAAAUGAACACAUCAACAUAUUAGAUAACAAGAUACUGCACAGGACAAUCCAGCAUGGUAAAUAAUCAACUAAAUCUAAGAUUGUAAAGAUGAUGGCCACCCUAACAAUACAACAAUUUUUAAACUUCCUCAACAGACACAAUCAGGUUAUAAAUUAACAAACCCAUGAGAAUGAAUAAUUCCAUCACUUACGCUAAAUGUGGUAUAAAUAUCUUUGAAUCUCAUUCAAACAAUACAAAUCACUUUAAAAACUACAAAUUAUUAAACUAGGGUUGUACCCAUUGACCACAACAAACAAAACUGACCAAUAGAUGAAGCUAAUAACAGCGAUAUCUCAAAACAACGAAUUAAGGUUAAUUAAAGUAGAAUCUAAAAAUGUGAACUUUCAUUUCAUUUUCAAUCGAUUAAGGUUAAGAAUUGGAAGGUUAACUAAGAAUCUAAAAGGGUGUCAGGUUCAUAUCUCACCUUAAGCAGAUGCGAGCUUCUGAAUAAUCCGCAGCAAAGAG
Molecule: long non-coding RNA, 2035 nt
Filed under: Lupinus angustifolius (narrow-leaved blue lupine)
Lineage: Eukaryota; Viridiplantae; Streptophyta; Magnoliopsida; Fabales; Fabaceae
Description: long non-coding RNA (LANG_LNC000154)
Source: RNAcentral